Alnus glutinosa is the source of this 1130-nucleotide RNA transcript. It is a transcript of the gene named GRF1-interacting factor 3-like, with no coding region annotated. The transcript has 3 exons. NCBI's taxonomy places the organism in Eukaryota, Viridiplantae, Streptophyta, Magnoliopsida, Fagales, Betulaceae. The record is from RefSeq and is a predicted model, not a curated record.
UUAAAAAGAAAAAAAAAAAUCAGGAAACUUCCUGAAAACGAGAUUCCUGUCCACUCUCCUUCCAUUUCAGAAAAAUUUUGCCCCAAAACUUUCAAAAUCUCCCAACCCAAACCCUCAGCCCACCGCCGCCCACGCAUCGCAGCAACCUCCAAGCACCAGUGACCACGCCGACUCAACCUCCGGCGACCUCAGAUUUGGUUUUCACCCAAAAAUCCUUCUCGUCAUCUCCAUCUUCCCUUUCCCCCGCCCAACACUGCCCAACGCUGGCCACAAAUAGCACGGAACACUGUCACCCACGACCAUGCCAACCACCCCGAGUAGGCCGCCGUUCCCGAAUCUCUCUACGGUCAGUCUCUCUCGCCGGAUCUCUCUCUCUCUCUCUCCAUAGCCGGAUGCCUCUCUCGCCGGAUCUCUCUAUCUCCACAGCCGGAUCUCUAUCUCUCCAUAGCCGGAUCUCUCUCUCCAGAGCCGGACUAGUUUCUGGAGAUGCAGCAGUCACCACAACUGUUGAAUGGUGCUCUCACUGCUAAUAUCACAAUUGAGCAAAGUCAAAAGUACCUGGACGAGAAUAAAGAGUUGAUUCUGGCAAUAAUGGAAAUCCAAAACCUGGGAAAAUUCAUUGAACGUGCGCAAGUGAUAAACUAACUAGAAUGUUUUUCUUUUAUUUGUUUACAAAAUUUCACUUAAUGGUGAUAUUAAUGCUGGAAUACGUUGAACGAUAUUCUCUUAUGAUGUGUCAUUCUUGUUGGGCUGUUGGAAUACAAGCUAUUGGUUAUUGUUUCUAGUAUAUCAAGGGAUCUCAAAACUAUAUGUUGGUUGUUAUUUACGCAGAGAAUGUAAUUUGAGAACUACAUGAUUGGUGGGAUAGAGUGGAUGUAAUUAUGGAUGAAUGACCAAAUGCACAAAAUGCAAUUUUUUUUUGGUAUAGGUGCAGGUUUGUAUAGUUACACCUGAUCUGUUCUAUUUUGUAAUAGUAGCCUGCUAGCUUGUGUUAAGGUAGGACGUUUUUUGUUUAGUGUAUGCUUCUUUAUGCAGCGGAAGGCCCAGUUGUUUCAAACUUGAGUGCUUUAUAGCAAAGGUUUGUAGAAAGUUUGUGUUUCCAACUUAUAAUAAAAUUUGAUUUGUGGAAA